RNAcentral lists this ribosomal RNA (468 nucleotides) under uncultured bacterium. RNAcentral's name for it is "partial 16S ribosomal RNA". It matches the Rfam family "Bacterial small subunit ribosomal RNA", at positions 28 to 507 of the family's 1533-position model. The record is from RNAcentral.
GAUGAACGCUGGCGGCGUGCUUAACACAUGCAAGUCGAACGGAAAGGCCCAAGCUUGCUUGGGUACUCGAGUGGCGAACGGGUGAGUAACACGUGGGUGAUCUGCCCUGCACUUCGGGAUAAGCCUGGGAAACUGGGUCUAAUACCGGAUAGGACGAUGGUUUGGAUGCCAUUGUGGAAAGUUUUUUCGGUGUGGGAUGAGCUCGCGGCCUAUCAGCUUGUUGGUGGGGUAAUGGCCUACCAAGGCGUCGACGGGUAGCCGGCCUGAGAGGGUGUACGGCCACAUUGGGACUGAGAUACGGCCCAGACUCCUACGGGAGGCAGCAGUGGGGAAUAUUGCACAAUGGGCGCAAGCCUGAUGCAGCGACGCCGCGUGGGGGAUGACGGCCUUCGGGUUGUAAACUCCUUUCGCUAGGGACGAAGCGUUUUUGUGACGGUACCUGGAGAAGAAGCACCGGCUAGCUACGUG